UGGGGAAUAUUGGACAAUGGGCGCAAGCCUGAUCCAGCAAUUCCGCGUGGGUGAAGAAGGUCUUCGGAUUGUAAAGCCCUUUCGGCAGGGACGAUGAUGACGGUACCUGCAGAAGAAGCCCCGGCUAACUUCGUGCCAGCAGCCGCGGUAAUACGAAGGGGGCUAGCGUUGCUCGGAAUGACUGGGCGUAAAGGGCGCGUAGGCGGUUUGCACAGUCAGGCGUGAAAUUCCCGGGCUUAACCUGGGGGCUGCGUUUGAUACGUGCGGACUUGAGGAUGAGAGAGGCUCGCGGAAUUCCCAGUGUAGAGGUGAAAUUCGUAGAUAUUGGGAAGAACACCGGUGGCGAAGGCGGCGAGCUGGCUCAUUUCUGACGCUGAGGCGCGAAAGCGUGGGGAGCAAACAGGAUUAGAUACCCUGGUAGUCCACGCUGUAAACGAUGUGCGCUGGAUGUUGGGAAGCUUAGCUUCUCAGUGUCGUAGCUAACGCGAUAAGCGCACCGCCUGGGGAGUACGGCCGCAAGGUUGAAACUUAAAUGAAUUGACGGGGUCAUAGCUGUUUCC
This 560-nucleotide ribosomal RNA is filed under the name uncultured bacterium. RNAcentral describes it as "partial 16S ribosomal RNA". It matches the Rfam family "Bacterial small subunit ribosomal RNA", at positions 355 to 937 of the family's 1533-position model. The record is from RNAcentral.